UGGGGAAUCUUGCACAAUGGGGGCAACCCUGAUGCAGCAACGCCGCGUGAGUGAAGAAGGAUCUUGGUUUGUAAAGCUCUUUCGGCCGGGAAGAAGGGAUAUGUGGUUAAUACCCACGUAUUUUGACGGUACUGGAGUAAGAAGCACCGGCUAAUUCCGUGCCAGCAGCCGCGGUAAUACGGGAGGUGCGAGCGUUGUUCGGAAUGACUGGGCGUAAAGAGCGCGUAGGCGGGUGAUUAUGUCGGAUGUGAAAUCCUUGGGCUUAACCCGAGAAUGGCAUCCGAAACGGGUCAUCUUGAAUACCUGAGGGGUUAGUGGAAUUCCAGGUGUAGGAGUGAAAUCUGUAGAUAUCUGGAGGAACAUCAGAGGCGAAGGCGACUAACUGGCAGUGUAUUGACGC
This 400-nucleotide ribosomal RNA is filed under the name uncultured bacterium. Its description in RNAcentral is "bacterial SSU rRNA". It matches the Rfam family "Bacterial small subunit ribosomal RNA", at positions 355 to 746 of the family's 1533-position model. The record is from RNAcentral.